GAAGAACUGCCACUGCACCUAGAAAAACAAGAAUUUGAAAGGGUAAAAGCUACUGUCACUGGCACUAAAGACAAGCUAAGAGGCACAGACAUGAGGCAACUAUGCGCUGUUCUUGGAAAGCAAAUGAGAGGUGUCAUGUCUGAGAAACCACAAACAGUCUUUGAUACUCUAACAGAAGUGUCAAGACUAUUGUAUAGCCACCCAAGCAAAAGAUGUCCAAGAGAUAUUUUGCGUCUCCACAACCAGAGCUUCCUUCAUGCCAUGACUUUGAAAGAGGUUAUCAAGGAAACAAAGUCCUUGACCGACCGAAAGCUGUAUGGGCGCUACUUCCACUCUCUUGUUGUCCAUUCCCCAAUCCAGUCGAGACUGGUCAGUGGUCGAUCUGUAAAUACUGAACAGCAGGAGCGCCACUUUAACACCUUCUCUGCAAUAGCAGAAAAUACCUCGAGCAGACGUCCUGGUGAAAUAAUCACACCCGGCCUAGUUCGUAUGCAGGCUGAACUAAAGCUAGCUGACCAACACAGAAACACUUUGAGUGAACAAGAAUCCAAAAUCAACAGUAUUGCCAAGUCAUCAUCUGCACUAUCCAACUUAAUCAUUCCAAACAGAUAUAUUCUUCGACACCCUAAUGAUUAUCAGGCUCACCUGGAGCGCAUCUCAGAUUUUCUUUUGUGUGGAGAGGGUGUAUGGUAGAGGCAAGUUGCUAGUGGUGUGGAGUUUUUUUGAUGGCCCCCAAGAGUUAGGUUCAAGGACAGCUGGUCCACCACUUCAUCACUUUAGAUCACAGACAAUAAAAUCAGAAAGAAGUUAUCUACAAGAGUGCUGGGACAAGUGCUUAGCCAAUGAUAUUCCAAUUCCACACUACAAAGUCAAGAUAUAUGAUGAUGAUGGUGAUUUAAAAGUAAGCAAGCUCACUGGGUUUUUUAAUGAUGAUGAUAAAGAGGAAGAGGAGGAAGACAGAGCAGAGGAGCUGGGAGUAUAUGUGCAUUCCCUCUAUGGUCACUGAAUGGAAUUUUCUUUUUUUUGGAAUUGUACAUUGUGAAGAUGAAAAAUAAUUUGAAUAAAAUGAUAGUAUCCUGUCUCUGGUCUCUGGGUGGAUUGUAAGAAUUAUAAUCAUAGCCAUAGCGGGCCCACUGCUACGGCCUGAUAAUGGACCUUUAGAAGCAGUCCAAACAAGGAACAUUGUAGGCCAACCAUAUUUAGAAAAGGGUUGACCUAGGACGGAAGUUGAUUCUACAUGUUAGGGACUACACUCAUAAAAAAUUGUAGAAAUCUGUGAAAGAAGGCUCCACAAUGCAGUUGUGGCCGAACUGGUUAGUGAUCUUAAACGAAACUCAAUGAGUUAUCUCUAGCGGAGUUUUCCAAAAGGACUAAAGUUCUAGCUUCUAUAAGGUCAGAAGAGUCUCGCCAAGAGAAGGAGCCUAUUUUAGGUCCCUUAAUCAACAAAGCUCUUGCUGAGCCAUUACAUAACAUGAAUAAUGCAUGGCAAUUUUUUAACAAAGCACUUUUAAAUGCUUUGAUAUCUCACAGCUACCUAAAAAUGCAACCUGCAUAAAAGAUCUUACAGAGGAUUGCCCAUUUUUGCUUUACUAGCCAGGGAUAAAAUAGGCAAAAUGCUCCUUGUUAAACAAAAAGCUAAAAUCCUAGCUGUAGUAUUCGGUAUACCUGUGUAGCGUCCGCAUUGCAAACAGGGCCUCGAGCAAAUUGAGAACUGGACGAAAUGGAUCAAGAGAUUUGAACGGUACAGGACUGCUUCGGGAUUCAAAAACAAGACGGAUACCGAGGAGAUCAGCACUUUACGCUAUGGGAGACUGUGCAGAUGAUAUUUUAGCGACGUUGAAAGUUGACGAAUCGAAGGCGAGUUAUAGUGAGAUGAAAACGGCCAAUUUUAACAGUCAAUACUUGGUCAUUAAUCAAGACAUCUUUUUGUCAAAGACUAAAGCCUUAAGCUAUCGAGUUAAAUUCAAUUUUAGAAGCAGGUUGCCAUUCUCUUAGUUCUUUCAUAAACUGCUUUGAAACCUUGUGAUUCAAAAAACAACUUACCCACGAAAAGGGCUGGUGCUGGCAGCUCGUACCUAACCCUAGCCCACUAGUUUGUAGUAAAUUCUUAUGGCAUAAUUUUAUUUUUGCAGAUAAUGGUCCACACUACCACAAUACUGGAGUUCUGGUUUACCUUGCUGAAGUAAAUUCAGUGUUCAACUUGGCACUCAAAUCAUACACAUUUUCCGAGGCUGGAGAAGGGAAAAGUGCAUUGGAUACACACUUUGCACACAUCUCCCACAAAAUUAUACGAUAUGUGCGUGUCGGGAAUGAUCUCGAAACUGGCGAGCAAGUAGCAGAUUUGAUCAAUGGACUUUAAGAACCGAGAACGCGGCGGGUCUAGGACGCGACCGGAAGUGUUUUUUUCACAUUUUGCCCAACAGCGCAUGCGCAUGAAGUUCUUUCUUCUUGGCGGGAACGCGACGAAUCGAGUUUUGAAGCGCUGUAGAAAACGUGUGUUCAACCAUGGCAUCAAACGUGCGAGAUGCAAAGGACAAACCUUUAAACAAUGUGAUCAUGUACUGGUCGACCUCCCAAAACAUAAUGUACUGUAGGGAAGUCCUGUUUACCAACCCCUUCCAGUUCAAAAAAUCUUCAACUGGGAGAACGUAAGCGUGGAAAAGCCUGGCUGACACUCUAAAGCAAGACUCAAGAGCAGUAAGGGACCACUUGGGAAACUUGAUUAAGAAGUACAAAAAGCAGAUGAGGGCCGAGGAGAGGGCAUCAGGUAUCGCCCCAGAUGAGCCCAGUGAGCUGGACCAAUUGAUCGAACAGAUUAUUGAACUGGAAGAAACUACAGUACCAGAGGAUAGUCAGCGAAAG
This is an RNA transcript of Nematostella vectensis (starlet sea anemone), 2862 nucleotides long. RefSeq lists it as uncharacterized. The transcript is spliced from 5 exons. The record is from RefSeq and is a predicted model, not a curated record. Lineage: Eukaryota; Metazoa; Cnidaria; Anthozoa; Actiniaria; Edwardsiidae.